Molecule: unclassified non-coding RNA, 263 nt
Filed under: Hevea brasiliensis (rubber tree)
Lineage: Eukaryota; Viridiplantae; Streptophyta; Magnoliopsida; Malpighiales; Euphorbiaceae
Source: RNAcentral
GAGGAAGUUGACGAAGAGGAAGAUGAGGAGAGGUAUGGGGAUAGGAAGUCGGGCGGUCAUGGUGAAUUGGAUGCCGCCUCCGGCAAUGUAUCGAAGGAACUGGACGAGGAUGGAAGACCAUUAGCAGAAGGACCAACUGAUUUGCACGACGAAAAUUUAGAAGGCGAAUUUGAUGAGGAGAAGAAGGUGAAUGAGCCCUUCGCUGUUCCCACUGCCGGGGCUUUCUAUAUGCAUGAUGAUCGGUUUAGGGACAAUGCAGGUGG